GAGGUUGUAGCUCAGUUGGCUAGAGCAUCGGCUUGUCACGCCGAAGGUCGCGGGUUCAACUCCCGUCAGCCUCG
RNAcentral lists this transfer RNA (74 nucleotides) under Aphanothece sp. CMT-3BRIN-NPC111. Its description in RNAcentral is "tRNA-Asp". It matches the Rfam family "tRNA". From Rfam's summary of the family: Transfer RNA (tRNA) molecules are approximately 80 nucleotides in length. Their secondary structure includes four short double-helical elements and three loops (D, anti-codon, and T loops). Further hydrogen bonds mediate the characteristic L-shaped molecular structure. tRNAs have two regions of fundamental functional importance: the anti-codon, which is responsible for specific mRNA codon recognition, and the 3' end, to which the tRNAs corresponding amino acid is attached (by aminoacyl-tRNA synthetases). tRNAs cope with the degeneracy of the genetic code in two manners: having more than one tRNA (with a specific anti-codon) for a particular amino acid; and 'wobble' base-pairing, i.e. permitting non-standard base-pairing at the 3rd anti-codon position. The record is from RNAcentral. Lineage: Bacteria; Bacillati; Cyanobacteriota; Cyanophyceae; Chroococcales; Aphanothecaceae.